UACAGAGGUCUCAAGCGUUGUUCGGAUUCAUUGGGCGUAAAGGGUGCGUAGGCGGCGCGGUAAGUCGGGUGUGAAAUCUCGGAGCUUAACUCCGAAACUGCAUUCGAUACUGCCGUGCUUUGAGGACUGGAGAGGAGACUGGAAUUUACGGUGUAGCGGUGAAAUGCGUAGAUAUCGUAAGGAAGACCAGUGGCGAAAGGCGGGGUCUCUGGACAACAACUGACGCUGAUGCGCGAAAGCCAGGGGAGCAAACGGG
RNAcentral lists this ribosomal RNA (256 nucleotides) under uncultured bacterium. RNAcentral describes it as "partial 16S ribosomal RNA". It matches the Rfam family "Bacterial small subunit ribosomal RNA", at positions 524 to 776 of the family's 1533-position model. The record is from RNAcentral.